ACAGAUUUUUUUGAUUAUGUAGAUUUUUUUUCCCCUAUUGCAGUUUCAUAUGCAAAGCAUGCAUCAGCCACAUCCAUGCUAUCUCCUAAAGCAGUCAUUCUGAAACCCAAUCUGGGGACAGUGCAGACUAAAUAAAAUUUCAUUUUGAUUUGGCCUCCCGCUGAGAAUGGGACUGCUUUGUUUCAGCCGACAGAACCAGCAAGCCAGAAAGGUGUUGAAUACACAAAUACUGAAUUAACGGAUAAUUAUGGUCAUUGUGGUGAAGGAAAUAUUUUUAUCCAGGCCUCAGGAAACAGUGGUCUGGCUAGCAACUGCAGUGGUGUGAAUGGUUACAUGAAGAGUAUUUUCUUGGGGCAAAGCAUGCCAUUGCUUACCUCUGCCCCAACACUCCUGAACUACAAGACCUAAUCAAUGUCAGUGGCCACCUGGAAAUUCCCAGUACAGAAGGAAGGACUGUGGCAGCUACUACCCUGAAAACAAACCUUCAUUCUGAAGUGAGGUGAGUCAGUAAUGUGUUACCACAGAACUUUAGAGGUGGAAGUACUUCAGUAUUCAAAGACACAUCCAGCACCGAUCCUUUUAACUGCUGUUGUCAUUGCUCUGGUUCUUCCACCCAAGUAAGGAUGAUAUAUGUCUUGUUUUCAGCUCACAUGACAAAGAUAUGACACUGUUGUCACUGAUUCUUAAGAAAAACUGUAUGAGUCAAAUUACAAUAGCAACAAAAGUUAGAACAAAGCCCUCUUUCUUGUUGAAACAGUUUGCUGUUUACUGUCUUUUGCCUAGCUGGUGGUAUAGUACAUAGCCCGCAAACAGAUGAAAUACAUUUUAGGUGCAUGAAAGAAAAAAUACUAUUUAAAACCAUAAGAUUACUUUAGGAAAAUAAUUAGAGGCAGCUAUCAUCAUUAACUCUGGAAUACAUAACUAUUCCCAUUCUUAAUAAAAUGUGAUCCUUAAUAAAAAGUGAAUGCAGUUGCACGCCACAGUAUUAAAGAAUAUAUGAGUUAAAUAUCUUCCUGCUUCAAAGAUGCGUGGCCUAAAACCUGAAAAAUUACAGUAUACGCAAAUGAUCAUAAAGGACUGACUUUACUGACCAUUUCUUUGUGUUUGGGGGAUAGAUUUCUGCAUGGCAUAAUAUUUCUACUUGCAUUGGUUUCCUGGCAUGAAAAUGUUUAUUGCACUCAUUAGCUAAGAGGAUGUCGGCACUGGUCCAAUGAACACAGAUCUGCCUUCUGAUUUCAGCCAUUAAAUUGCAAUGGGAUUCACAGGCUUAACAUUGUGGGUGUGAGAAUAAUAAAAUGGAACUCCAUCUUUAGCCCAGUUACCAUGGAUGCAGUUAAAGGUCAUAGUGGCAGCUGCUAACUAGUUGCCUUUUUAGCUGUAUUUCCCCUCCUGCUGCAUGUUUUUGUGUACCUUAGUUUCUGCAGGUCUGCCUUAGAGCAAUUCCACUUCCUUAACUUGGCAUAUGGGUGUCUUCCUCAACAUGAUGGGUGCAUUGCCAUAAACAUGGUUGCUGCUGUCAUCCCUUUAUUGAAUUUUUUGUGUUUUAAUGGAAAAUCACUGUAAAGACCUUAACAAAAAAAUGGAAAUGCAGCCUGCUCAGCAUCCCAAAUUAUUUCUAUUCUCUGCACUCUGCUUCACGUUCCUAUCUUGGGGGAGAAAAAAAAAAAAAAAAAGAAGAAAAAUCCCUCCCUGUAUAUAGUGAAUUCCCAUGUCCAUUUAAACUCAUAAUGGGCUAAGGAACUGAGGCAUUCACAGUGUGGAACAUCAACUACUACUUCUCAAUUUGCCCCAAAGUCCUAGGAGUUAAUUCCCUGUACUGCAUGAAGUGUCAGAGUAAUUACCGCUGAUCAGCCCUAUUUCUUAGCAUUCUGUCCUGCUUUGAGAGGCACCCUGUUUAUAGAUGCACCGCCACAUCAUCACAGUGCUUUCAUUCAGGCAAGCUGCUUAAUCGAAAGGGCUUGGACAAUGCAGGAUUUUUAAAGAGAAGGAGUGGAAAAAAAUUAAAAGUAGCCAAGUAAAAUAAAGAUAAUGGUAAAGAAAUCUGUAAGCUCUACAAAAUAUUUCCGUAUGUCAACACUUAGUUUCAAUAGAUUUUAAAACUCUUAUUUAUUUCCAAAAGAAGGUACUGUGAGUCUUUUCCGUAGUGACUCAACUACAUGAUCACGCCCUAUUUGAAGAUUUUUAGGAGCACAGUACUGGACGCCCUCCUUGAGGAAUGCUUAUUGGUUUUUGUUCUGUUUAUAUAUAGGCUAUGACUCUGACAACCUUUCUGAACCACAAUACAAAGAAACUUUUUUUAAGUUUAUGCCUUUCUGCUUUAAAGAUACAUUUAUAUAACUUGUCAUUUCACAAAAAUAAAUUAAGUACUAUACGAGCCAAAUGUUUCAGUUCCACACAAGGGUGGCUUCUGGUUCUCAUUGGCAGGAUGCCACUUUAUUCAUUUUUAUUUCAAACACAAUGUGAAACUUUUAAUUCUAAUAUAGUAUAUAAGUGUGAUGGCUAUAAAGCCUACACUGUGACUAAUUCAUGCUCCUCUUCUCCUUGCACUCCUGUGAAUUUUAGAGGGUGGCAGAAAGUUACACUGAAUUCAUUUCCACUUAAAUACUAUCAGGCUUUGUGUGUUUGUUAGGGGGAGAAGAGAUUUAUUUGGGCUGACAUUUGUAUUUAAGACUCAAGUGUUCUCCUUGAUUAAGUCACUUUUGGGCAUUGUUCUUGUAGAUCUGUGGAUACCCUGCCCAUAGUGAAAGUAACUUUUUAGCCGAGUCUGUUUUGCCUCAAGAAGUGAAAUAGAUUGUCACAUGGAAAAGGAAAUAAACAGGUAAUGACAAAUACAAGUGUAAACAAACCAGUUAUCUAAUUGGUUGCUGAGAUUCUUCUAAUGACAUCACCCCCCUCUAUGGCAUUGCUUCAUUAAAAAAUGAUAAUAAGUUUCCUAAGUUGUUCAGCAGUGUUAUUGAAAAUAUCAGCAUAAGAUGGCUACAACUAUUACAGUGGCCCAUUUUACUGUUUUCUCCACCACACUUUUAAUCAGAGAAUUUCUUCUUGUGCCUUGUUUACUGUUGAUAUUUUCUGGCUGAUUGGAUAGGAAUGACAUUUUGACAAUUUACUGUAGCAGUAAGCACUGUACAAACAAAAGGUGCUGAUGAAAACUCGGAACCCAUUAUUAUGUAAAUUAUGGCUGACUAACACAGAUUCCAUCUACCAGUCACCAUCAUUGAGACCAGUUUUACUCAAUGAUAAUAAUUUUCAUGAUUGCAGUCUUCAGAGAGAUCAGAAAUAUGCUUUAGCUGUUGCAUUUAUCUACUGUGGGUACUUGACCCUUAAUUAAAUUCUGAAACUUUUUUAUAUAAUAAAGUAAAAUACAGCUGACACUUCCAUUCAAACAAAGAGCAUCAAACACAGAUCUACCAAAUAAGAUAAAGGUAUUUCAGACUUACCUUGUUGUAAUGCUAGUAAACACGAAAACUACAACAUCCUUUGAAAGAGAGCUUAAAGUUUAAAAUGCCAAAAAAAAAAAAGCAUGCCCUUGGGCAAUUUAAAUGUUGCACUUCAGUCCCGUGUCUGCUGAAUGCUGGGCUUGCUCUGCAGAAUGGUCUUGAACUUUAUAUUAAAAUAUGCAUGACAGGAAAAAAAAAAUAAAUGAAUGAGCUUUGAGUAUACAGAUGAUGUUUGUCUGCUCCAGUAUAUUAUUGAGGUCAUAAAUGAGAAAUUGUUAGAAAAUAAAGAAGUAAGAGGUUAUUUAAUGUUCCACACUAACUUUUGUAAGACAGUAUUCUCCCAAAUCUUGAAAAAUACGUUUUGUAAAACUAUUCCUCUUAAAAACAGACUAGGAACAACUCAAGGUGCUGCACUGCUGUGUUAGUGUUCUGCUACUAACAGAUAAAAAAAUGACUAAAUAUCAUAAAAACAGAUCAGUUAAUUUGGUUUGUAUUUAUAUAUUUAUAUGUGUGAGUUCCAUAAACAAGACCAGGGGAAAGGGAUAUACUGUACAUAAAAGGAAGCUGGGCUUUUCAUUUAAUAUUUUAAUUUUUUAAGGCAGCUUUGCAAGCUGUUAGUACUCCUUUCCUCCCUCCUCCCCAGUCUCCUCACCAGUUUUUCAAAUGUGAAGGUGGCCAUUCCAGGUAAGAUGUAAGAGUCAGGAUUAAAAAGAGGUAGGGUAUUAUAAAAAUUGAGAUUCAGGAUUUCUUGCAACAUAGCACUUUCCUAAACUGUCAGUUCAUAGAGCCAAUGAGCUAAGAAAAGUAAUUACUUAAGUGGAUUUCAUGAAGAGUAGAAAGAUGAUUGUGCCACAUUAAAUAACAAUUGUAUCCUUAAUGAUGUGUUGGACUAUAAUACAAACAUCCUUCUGCCAUUAUAUGCACUACAAUAUACCUUUCUAAUUA
Molecule: long non-coding RNA, 4382 nt
Organism: Neopsephotus bourkii (Bourke's parrot)
Lineage: Eukaryota; Metazoa; Chordata; Aves; Psittaciformes; Psittacidae
Exons: 4
Source: RefSeq, a predicted model, not a curated record